UCCAGACUCCUACGGGAGGCAGCAGUGAGGAAUAUUGGUCAAUGGGCGGGAGCCUGAACCAGCCAAGUCGCGUGAGGGAAGACGGUCCUACGGAUUGUAAACCUCUUUUGUCGGGGAGCAAAGCGAGUCACGUGUGACUCAUUGAGAGUACCCGAAGAAAAAGCAUCGGCUAACUCCGUGCCAGCAGCCGCGGUAAUACGGAGGAUGCGAGCGUUAUCCGGAUUUAUUGGGUUUAAAGGGUGCGUAGGCGGGCUGUUAAGUCAGCGGUCAAAUGUCGGGGCUCAACCCCGGCCUGCCGUUGAAACUGGCGGCCUCGAGUGGGCGAGAAGUAUGCGGAAUGCGUGGUGUAGCGGUGAAAUGCAUAGAUAUCACGCAGAACUCCGAUUGCGAAGGCAGCAUACCGGCGCCCUACUGACGCUGAGGCACGAAAGCGUGGGUAUCGAACAGGAUUAGAUACCCCGGUAAU
Molecule: ribosomal RNA, 466 nt
Filed under: uncultured bacterium
Lineage: Bacteria
Description: bacterial SSU rRNA
Rfam family: Bacterial small subunit ribosomal RNA
Source: RNAcentral